Molecule: long non-coding RNA, 804 nt
Organism: Cyprinus carpio carpio
Lineage: Eukaryota; Metazoa; Chordata; Actinopteri; Cypriniformes; Cyprinidae
Source: Ensembl
ACACAUAUAUACACACAUAUAUUAUGAAGCUUUUUUUUUUUUUCUGAUGGAGCGUGUGCCGCUAUAGUGCAUGGAAACAUGACGUAAUGCAGUAAGGUAAUUCCACAUCCAUGAAACGCUUGCGCUCUGAUGCAAUUGCCCUUUUUAGGAGACAUUCGUCAUUCAGAUGAUUACAAUACUAGGCCAGUGAAUGCCUGUUGCUGCACUGAUUGAAAAGUGCAUGGGUGGAACUGGAAUAUCAACAUCUGAACCAGGAUAAAUCCAUGGCAAACCAUUUCAUUUGGAGAUAUAACGCAAAUGAACAAAACUGCAUCUCUGGAGGCGAUAUCUCCAGCUCUAUCAGUCACAUCGAGACAAGAGCUGCGCUGGAGAAUCGAGCCUGUGAUGCCCAGUGAGAGUCUGGAGCAGACCAGAGAACCCACAGCAGCUCACAGAGAAAGCUUCAAAAGAAAUGCACAGGAGACUGAGCGCCUGCACAUGGAGCAGAUCGUGCUGCAGAGGUGAGCUGCCUGCAACAGGAGAAAGAGCAGCUGAAAAUGCUUCUGGCAUCCCAUGCAUCCAUCUGCACACUGGCACAGGACAAAUCUCAUUCCUUGGAGAAGUCCCUGCCAUCCAAAAUUUCCAUCACAAUAAAACAGGAACCUCUGGAUGACGUAAGUGGGUCUGGACUUUUGGUGCUCCAACAGACAGAGAACGAUGAAGCAUCAGCGCUUUUUAUUUAAUAUCUUUAAAAAAAAACUUAAUUACCACUACUAAAGAGACAUUCUGUGUUCCACAUCCAACUUUUCCUGUGAUAAAAAACCC